This 253-nucleotide ribosomal RNA is filed under the name uncultured bacterium. RNAcentral describes it as "partial 16S ribosomal RNA". It matches the Rfam family "Bacterial small subunit ribosomal RNA", at positions 524 to 776 of the family's 1533-position model. The record is from RNAcentral.
UACGUAGGGUGCAAGCGUUGUCCGGAAUUAUUGGGCGUAAAGAGCUCGUAGGCGGUUUGUCGCGUCUGCUGUGAAAACCCGAGGCUCAACCUCGGGCCUGCAGUGGGUACGGGCAGACUAGAGUGCGGUAGGGGAGAUUGGAAUUCCUGGUGUAGCGGUGGAAUGCGCAGAUAUCAGGAGGAACACCAAUGGCGAGGGCAGCUCGCUGGGACGGUAUUGACGCUGAGACGCGAAAGCGUGGGGAGCAAACAGG